This is a long non-coding RNA of Bos taurus (domestic cattle), 4441 nucleotides long. NCBI's taxonomy places the organism in Eukaryota, Metazoa, Chordata, Mammalia, Artiodactyla, Bovidae. The record is from Ensembl.
GGACAAUUUAAGAGAAUCCAGGAGCUUUGACUAACCGGCUACUCAGCCAUGACCCUGCCCUGUUGAAGGAAGUAGAAAGGACGGGAAUUGGUCAGUCAACAGCACUCAGGUGCCAAGUCGUGAACACACUGUGGGGAGGAGACCGGCAACAGAAAAUGACUGGAAGACACAAGGAAUCCCUAAAAGAUCGAAAAAAUGUUCUCCGCAAUCUAAACAAAGUUAGAUUGGGAAAUGCAGCAUGGUACCAUGGGGGCCUGGUUCGGCCAUGACCCGCCUGCCCGCAGGCGCCGGCCUCAGAUGCUCAGAGCGGCCUGGGGAGAGAGGGGAUGCUUUGACUUUUCAAGAUCUAAGAGUUAUGGUUCCCUUUUGGCGAAAUGCUUUUUGUCCUGUCAUAACUUGAGUCCUUUGUGGUAGCACCGAUUGUGGCCUCGGAAGCCCAGGUAGGAGUCAUUCAACCUUUUUCAGCAGAUUGAAGUGAUUUUUAAGUGAAUACAGAAAGCAGCCCUACCCACACCAUCCUCUGUCAGGAAUGAAGCAUCUGUGAUGGAAAAUACCUGCAGCCUGGGGAAAAAAUUUACUGCAACAGCUCCAUUUCAUGUUGUGGGGUCAUAUUUUUAUUGAUGUGAAAUUCUUGCUCUCUACUGUCCGAUUUUUGUUAACUACUGAAUCUAAAUCUUGUUGGGUCUUGUGCUUGCAAACCCCUGUAAUUAGCAUGAUAUCCUAGAUUGUUUUUAAAUUGAAGUGGCCUGGUUUCUGUGUCUAACCUGUGCAGUUAGAGGCCCCGGGGCUGAGAUUGUAUCUGGGGCUCUCCCUGGACCCCUCUCUUCCACGCCCUGGCUGGAGACUGAGCAUCAAAAUCUCCCAUGGAAACCUGGAUCCAGAGUUCAGGAACCGGGAGGCUGGCACAGGCGAGGGGGUGCGGGUGAUGUCAAGCACCCUUCUCUGGGACUUGCAAGUUGCCACAGGGCUUGAACACUUCAAGUGUGGGGAGGAGAUGCCCAGAUUUGGAUCCUGGCUUGACCAGUCCUGGCGCGGAUGUCCAGCCUCUCUGCUGGGUGAAGUCUGAAUCCCGGCACCCGUCACCGCAGCUUUUUCCUCGCAGCCUAGAUGAGACAAUUAGGAAAACCAGAGCCUGGAGAAUUCCAGGGACGGGAAGCCUGGUGGGCUGCCGUCUCUGGGUCGCACAGAGUCGGACACAACUGAAGCGACUUAGCAGCAGCAGCAGCAGCAGAGAGAUAAAGAGAACUUCCGCUGAAUCCUAGCUUCUGUCUUCUCAAUAGAGGAGAGCGUGGCAACCCACUCCAAUAUUCUUGCCUGGAGAAUCCUAUAGACAGAGGAGCCCUACAGUUCACGGGGUCAAAGAGUCAGAGGUGACUAAAGUGUGACCAUCUCACCAGAGGAUCCCUCCCACCUACCCUACACCACGAAGCCAAAUGGACCAAUGACAUGGGGCAGCUUCUUUUAAAUCUCACCCCCAGGGCCUCUGACUGCACAGGUAAGACACAGAAACCAGGCCACUCCAAUUUAAACAAGCCUUGCAGCUUCUUAAAGACCAGGGUCAAGUCCAUAUGAAGUCCUUCCGUUACUUACCUUCACAUUGGUCUCAGUGGUUUAUUUCAAAUUCUAGCCUAUUCAUUGAUAGCUUUUCCUGAAUGGUCUCCAAAAGCUCUCUGCAAAAGCGAUUUACAGAGUGGCUGGCCAGUGUGCUGAUCUGCACACUGAAGGAAGGAUCAUGUAGCUAAGGACUGCCAAACAGACAGAAGAGACAUGUUAUCACCGAGGCAAGAAGUGCGCAGUUAGCAGGGUUAAGGACCAGGAUUUGGGGGCCACAUAGCUGCUUGUAGCGAGAAGGUUCUUGCAUGAAGAAUCUUCUCAACUAUCUUUCCUUGCCCACAGCUAAAUAGUAGCUUCUACUUUAAAUCCAGGUCACAGUCAUUAGCUACCAGCAUGGUCGGCACUAGAUACUCAACGAGUAUGGAUCAGUUUAAGAUUUGCUUGAAGGUGAAAAGAGGAAUUAUUCAACAAAUGGUGUUGGAACCACUGGCUAGCCAUUUGGGAAAAAAAGUUUAGAACUUCCCUGGUGGUCCAGUGGUUAAGAGUCUGACCUCCCAAUGCAGGGAGUACAGGUUUGACCCCUGGUCGAGGAACUAAGAUCCUACAUGCCACUCAUGUUGCCGAGAAAUAAAGUAAAUAAAUAAAUAUAAACUUAAACUGAUUCUUACCUUACUUGUCACUCCCAGUAAAGCAUAUGUGGAUAAAAACUUCAAAGAUAAAAUUUGAAACCACAAUUUAAAAACUGUGGGUGCAUUUAUUGCUCAUCCCUGUUUGGAGAAGUCCUUUUUAGCAAGGAAGCCAUAGAUUAAAAAAUCAUAAAUUUCAUACCAUAAAAGAAAACAUAAUUUUGUGUGACAAAAAGUACCUUAAAAAUGACAAAACAGAAAAUAUUUGCAACAUUUGUAUAUGAGAAACAUAAUUUAAUUUAUUUAAAUUACAAAGAGCUCACACAAAUCAAUAAAGAAAAAGCAGAAUAACACAAUAGAAAAUAAGGCAAAGGAUAUGAAUGGACAGUUAAAAAGUGAUGCAAAUGUCUGAUAAAAAAUUUCACUGGAAACUAUAAGAUACCAUCUUUCAUCUAAAUGUCAGAAAUUGUAAAGUUUUAUUAUAAUUAGUGCCUGGGAAGAAGAUAUGUGGACAAGUAGGCAUUUGCAAAUAUAAAUUUAAGAACUGUCAACUGGUGUUCAUUUGCCCAAUAUUAAGAUCCUUCUAAGAGCAAUUGAGUAAUAUCAAUCAUGAUUUUAAUGUCUAUAACCUUUGAUCCAAGAACUUCACUGCCUGAAUUUAGCCUACAGUUACAUUGGCAAAAUUAUGCCAUGGGGAAACUGUAGAAACAGUGUCAGAUUUUAUUUUGGGGGGCUCCAAAAUCACUGCAUAUGGUGACUGCCCCAUGAAAUUAAAAGAUGCUUACUCCUUGGAAGAAAAGUUAUGACCAACCUAGAUAGCAUAUUGAAAAGCAGAAACAUUACUUUGCCAACAAAGGUUCGUCUAAUCAAGGCUAUGGUUUUUCCAGUGGUCAUGUAUGGAUGUGAGAGUUGCACUGUGAAGAAGGCUGAGCACCGAAGAAUUGAUGCUUUUGAACUAUGGUGUCGGAGAAGACUCUUGAGAGUCCCUUGGACUGCAAGGAGAUCCAACCAGUCCAUUCUGAAGGAGAUCAGCCCUGGGAUUUCUUUGGAAGGAAUGAUGCUAAAGCUGAAACUCCAGUACUUUGGCCACCUCAUGCGAAGAGUUGACUCAUUGGAAAAGACUCUGAUGCUGGGAGGGAUUGGGGGCAGGAGGAGAAGGGGACGACAGAGGAUGAGAUGGCUGGAUGGCAUCACUGACUCGAUGGACGUGAGUCUGAGUGAACUCCGGGAGUUGGUGAUGGACAAGGAGGCCUAGCGUGCUGCAAUUCAUGGGGUCGCAAAGAGUCGGACAUGACUGAGAGACGGAACUGAAUUGAAAUGAAUUGAUACAGGACAAGGAUGCCCAUGACAGCGUUGUUUGGAACAGCAGAAAGCUGGAAUCCAUUUAAGGGUCUAUCAAUGAGACCGGCUAGAAAAUGGAACUCUAAGAAACAGUUUUUGUGUCUUAAAAAAAAAAAUAUUAACAGGGUCUUCAGGUCAUGAGACCAAGGAUAUGUGAGUUUAUUUUUUAUUUUUGUCUGCACAGCAUGUGGGAUCUUAGUUCCCCAACCAAGGAUCAAACCCAUGCCCCCCGAAUUAGUAGUGCAGAGUCUGAACUACUAGACCACCAGAGAAGUCCAAGAAGCAGUUUUUAAAAAGGUUGAAAGGCGAUUGGUAGAGCUAGAUAUAGAGGACCUUUGAUUUUUUAAUAAGUAGGAAGGGAAAGCAAGGCUCUGGGCAAGGUAUUUAGGAAUAUCUGUUUUCAAAUUGUGUACCUUACUAGCCAAACCUUUUGAACGCAUUCACUAACGUAUUUGUUGAUUGAUUUAUACAUAUGUGAACCGAUCCAAAAAUAGCAUAAAAAAGUGAAUUGAAGCAAAGCAUAAGAUCUAAAAUUUUUUCGGCUACGCUGAAUUGUUUUAAGGACCUUUCCACCUUACAUGUAUGCACUUAUGCCACGUGAGUGACGUCAGUUCGUCACCUGUCAAUUUUAAAAUAUAUCUGCAAAUUCUUUGACACACCUUCCAUUGGUUUGCGUGAUCUAUGCCCUGUUCCCUUCAAAUGGGGCAGACCUUUGCCCUUGUUUUGGCCACCAGGGUAUGGCAGAAAUGACAAUAUUGGAUUCUGAGUCUAGAUGAGAAAACACUGGUGCCUGGUUUGUUUUUAGUUUUCUGGGAUGCAAAACCAAGCCAACACUGAUGUUGAUACUUGUGCGGAGGUUUAGACUUUGUUUAGACAGCACUUCCGUGCUAUGAAUAGUAGCUGCAGAAGUGAUGAACACA